UAGGGAAUCUUCGGCAAUGGGGGCAACCCUGACCGAGCAACGCCGCGUGAGUGAAGAAGGUUUUCGGAUCGUAAAGCUCUGUUGUAAGAGAAGAACGUGUGUGAGAGUGGAAAGUUCACACAGUGACGGUAACUUACCAGAAAGGGACGGCUAACUACGUGCCAGCAGCCGCGGUAAUACGUAGGUCCUGAGCGUUGUCCGGAUUUAUUGGGCGUAAAGCGAGCGCAGGCGGUUUAAUAAGUCUGAAGUUAAAGGCAGUGGCUUAACCAUUGUUCGCUUUGGAAACUGUUAAACUUGAGUGCAGAAGGGGAGAGUGGAAUUCCAUGUGUAGCGGUGAAAUGCGUAGAUAUAUGGAGGAACACCGGUGGCGAAAGCGGCUCUCUGGUCUGUAACUGACGCUGAGGCUCGAAAGCGUGGGGAGCAAACAGG
This 429-nucleotide ribosomal RNA is filed under the name bacterium. Its description in RNAcentral is "partial 16S ribosomal RNA". It matches the Rfam family "Bacterial small subunit ribosomal RNA", at positions 355 to 776 of the family's 1533-position model. The record is from RNAcentral.